GACGAACGCUGGCGGCGUGCUUAACACAUGCAAGUCGAACGGAAAGGCCCUGCUUGCAGGGUACUCGAGUGGCGAACGGGUGAGUAACACGUGGGUGAUCUGCCCUGCACUUCGGGAUAAGCCUGGGAAACUGGGUCUAAUACCGGAUAGGAGCCAUUUUUAGUGUGAUGGUUGGAAAGUUUUUUCGGUGUAGGAUGAGCUCGCGGCCUAUCAGCUUGUUGGUGGGGUAAUGGCCUACCAAGGCGGCGACGGGUAGCCGGCCUGAGAGGGUGGACGGCCACAUUGGGACUGAGAUACGGCCCAGACUCCUACGGGAGGCAGCAGUGGGGAAUAUUGCACAAUGGGCGCAAGCCUGAUGCAGCGACGCCGCGUGGGGGAUGACGGCCUUCGGGUUGUAAACUCCUUUCGCUAGGGACGAAGCUUUUUGUGACGGUACCUAGAUAAGAAGCACCGGCUAACUACGUGCCAGCCGCCGCAGUAA
This 481-nucleotide ribosomal RNA is filed under the name uncultured bacterium. RNAcentral describes it as "partial 16S ribosomal RNA". It matches the Rfam family "Bacterial small subunit ribosomal RNA", at positions 28 to 523 of the family's 1533-position model. The record is from RNAcentral.